GUUUUUGAAAUAAGAAGAAAAAGAAAAGGGAAACAUUGGUAAGUGUCGAAGAAGCUGAAGAAGGAAAGGAAAGUCGCUGGAAGGAAGGAGCUGAUCGUUGGAUUUAACGAACCGUUGGACCAAAUCGACCCGCUGUACCAAACCGCUCUACCAGAACCAACCCGACCCGACCCAAUUAGCAGAUUCUGAUCCACUACCCAAAACCAGACUCGAUGGACCUAAUUGUAGAUCUUUGAACGAAUUAGAAAUUUGUUGAAGACCCGAAACAAGCUCGAAAAGUCUACAACAAGUGUUAAGUAGACCAAUGUCGGUGGCGGGAACGUGUGGAGCCAUGCGGCUACAGUGGAGACCCUUAGAUCGAGUCUUCUUUGUCCAUGUCGUUUUAAUGUCAUUUUGAUGUUUAUUUUGGGAA
Non-coding RNA from Cucurbita pepo subsp. pepo (vegetable marrow), 412 nucleotides. NCBI's taxonomy places the organism in Eukaryota, Viridiplantae, Streptophyta, Magnoliopsida, Cucurbitales, Cucurbitaceae. The record is from RefSeq and is a predicted model, not a curated record.